Molecule: ribosomal RNA, 253 nt
Filed under: uncultured bacterium
Lineage: Bacteria
Description: partial 16S ribosomal RNA
Rfam family: Bacterial small subunit ribosomal RNA
Source: RNAcentral
UACGUAGGGGCCGAGCGUUGUCCGGAGUUCUUGGGCGUAAAGCGCGCGCAGGCGGCCUCGCGCGCCCGACGUGAAAGCCCCCGGCUUAACCGGGGAGGGUCGUUGGGGACGGCGGGGCUUGAGGGCGGGAGAGGUCGGUGGAAUUCCCGGUGUAGUGGUGAAAUGCGUAGAGAUCGGGAGGAACACCGGUGGCGAAGGCGGCCGACUGGGCCGACCCUGACGCUGAGGCGCGAAGGCGUGGGGAGCGAACGGG